GUUAAGUGACUAAGCGUAUACGGUGGAUGCCUUGGCAGUCAGAGGCGAUGAAGGACGUGUAAGUCUGCGAAAAGCGUAGGUGAGGUGACAAAAACCGUUACAACCUGCGAUGUCCGAAUGGGGAAACCCGGCCUUAGGGUCACUGUAUGGUGAAUACAUAGCCAUGCAGAGCAAACGAGGGGAACUGAAACAUCUAAGUACCCUCAGGAAAAGAAAUCAAUUGAGAUUGCCUUAGUAGCGGCGAGCGAACGGGUACCAGCCGAUGGUUUAUGUUGUAGUGGAAUCUUCUGGGAAGUUGAGCGAUACAGGGUGACAGCCCCGUACACGAAGCGACAUAAAUCACAUAUUAAGUAGGACGGGACACGUGUUAUCUUGUCUGAAGAUGGGGGGACCAUCCUCCAAGGCUAAAUACUCCUGACUGACCGAUAGUGAACCAGUACCGUGAGGGAAAGGCGAAAAGAACCCCGGCGAGGGGAGUGAAAUAGAACCUGAAACUGUAUACGUACAAGCAGUGGGAGCAGACUUGUUCUGUGACUGCGUACCUUUUGUAUAAUGGGUCAGCGACUUAUAUUCUGUAGCGAGGUUAACCGCAUAGGGGAGCCGUAGCGAAAGCGAGUCUUAACUGGGCGUUGAGUUGCAGGGUAUAGACCCGAAACCCGGUGAUCUAGCCAUGGGCAGGUUGAAGGUUGAGUAACAUCAACUGGAGGACCGAACCCACUAACGUUGAAAAGUUAGGGGAUGACCUGUGGCUGGGGGUGAAAGGCCAAUCAAACCGGGAGAUAGCUGGUUCUCCCCGAAAGCUAUUUAGGUAGCGCCUCGGACGAAUUCCUUUGGGGGUAGAGCACUGUUUGGGCUAGGGGGUCAUCCCGACUUACCAACCCCAUGCAAACUCCGAAUACCAAAGAGAACUAUCCGGGAGACACACGGCGGGUGCUAACGUCCGUCGUGGAGAGGGAAACAACCCAGACCGCCAGCUAAGGUCCCAAAAUUAUUGCUAAGUGGGAAACGAUGUGGGAAGGCUAAGACAGCCAGGAGGUUGGCUUAGAAGCAGCCAUCCUUUAAAGAAAGCGUAAUAGCUCACUGGUCGAGUCGGCCUGCGCGGAAGAUGUAACGGGGCUAAGCAAUAUACCGAAGCUGCGGCAGCACGUAUGUGCUGGGUAGGGGAGCGUUGUGUAAGUGGACGAAGGUGGCUUGAGAAGGCUGCUGGACAUAUCACAAGUGCGAAUGCUGACAUGAGUAACGAUAAUGGGGGUGAAAAACCCCCACGCCGGAAGACCAAGGUUUCCUGUCCCAUGCUAAUCAGGGCAGGGUAAGUCGGCCCCUAAGGCGAGGCAGAGAUGCGUAGUCGAUGGGAAACGGGUUAAUAUUCCCGUACUUAUAAGUACAGUGAUGGGGUGACGGAGAAGGCUAGGCUGGCAUGGCGUUGGUUGUCCAUGUGAAAGUGCGUAGGGUUGGUGUUUAGGAAAAUCCGGACAUCUACAUGCCUGAGACACGAGACGAUGCACUACGGUGCAGAAGCAGUUGAUGCCCGGCUUCCAGGAAAACCCUCUAAACGUAUGUACUUAUGAACCGUACCCCAAACCGACACAGGUGGUCAGGUAGAGAAUACUAAGGCGCUUGAGAGAA
RNAcentral lists this ribosomal RNA (1626 nucleotides) under Leptocylindrus danicus. RNAcentral's name for it is "partial Bacterial large subunit ribosomal RNA". It matches the Rfam family "Bacterial large subunit ribosomal RNA", at positions 1 to 1698 of the family's 2925-position model. Lineage: Eukaryota; Bacillariophyta; Leptocylindrophyceae; Leptocylindrales; Leptocylindraceae. The record is from RNAcentral.